GUUUAAGUUAUUUUCCAUUGCUUGCACUUAUUGUUCAUUGAUCUCUCUAUUGCACGUCAUUUAGCUGCUAAUACAAUGCAUGCAUAGUGGUCGACCGAUCGUCUUCUCACUCUAGUUUUGUACCUAAGCAUGGAUUCUUCACAAUUUGAUGCACUCACCCGACAAAUAGCAGCUAUCCAAAUCUAGAUAACUGCUACUCUUGAAGAGAGUAAAGCCCUCUCUGCGAAUUUGAACAAUUUUAAGUACAUUCCUCAUUCGACUAAUGUUAAUAAUUCUGAAGUGUCCCACAAUAGACAAUAUCGUCGUCGAUAAGGUGAUCAAAAAUAUUUUCAACACGAUCGUAAGGAUAGGGAUCAGGGUCGUGAGUGAGAACGAGGUCAUGGUCGUCAUGGUACUCAUUCUCUUCCUCUCCAUAAGGAGCGUUUUUUUAAAGACAUUAAAUUAGAUACUCCUACUUUCGAUGGUUGCUUAGAUUUUGAAGUUUUUACUCAAUGGACUGCUCUUAAACAAGGGAAUCGAUAAGUAACCGAGUAUAUUGCACAAUUUGAGGAAUUUCGAACCAAAUGUCAUGUCAUUGAGGAUGAGACCAUGACUUUGAGUAGGUUUAGCCAAGGUCUAAGAGAUGAUCAUAGGCGUGAGCUUUUCUUUCGAAAUGUUACAACUCUUGAUCAUGCUUAUUCUUUAGCCAGAGGUUAUGAGUUGACUAUUAGUACUUCAUAUGAAAAGCGCGAUCACCAUCGUUCACCCAUGUCAUUAGCGCCACCUCAACAUGAGCCUGUCAUAGAGCCUUCCCCAUCUAGUGUUCCUCCCAUUUGGACAAAUAAGUGUAAAGGUUGUGAUAGUUCAAGACCCUCUUCUCCAUAUAGAAGACGUAUUGACAACCAUUCUUCUGUUUCAUUAGCUCCACUUUCUCCCGUUAAGUCUCUUCUACGACUUUCCCCGUCUAAUGUUCCUCCAAUCUUGGAAAAUAAGGGUAAAAUUUUUGAAACUCCAAGGACUUCUUCUCACUUGCUAUACAUCAGCUGUAAGAACUUUGGCCACAUCUCUUCCAAAUGUCCAAACCGAGCCUUAGUCAUAGAAGAACGAGAGAAUGUAAUAGAAGAGUAGUUAGAAGAUUUAGUGUAUGAACCUAAACUUGAAGAUUUUGAUGAUGAUAGUGAGGACACCUCCUUAGGUGGCAUCCAGACUCUUCCUGAGACUCUGAAUACUAUAUCCCAUCAUUUCACUAGUCACUUUUGGAGAACCCAGUCGCCUAUGGCUAGGACUAAAUCGAAAUUCUCCACCGCAGACCAGCCUCAGACUGAUGGUUAAAAUGAAG
RNAcentral lists this long non-coding RNA (1318 nucleotides) under Olea europaea subsp. europaea. The record is from RNAcentral. Lineage: Eukaryota; Viridiplantae; Streptophyta; Magnoliopsida; Lamiales; Oleaceae.